ACGGAGGGUGCAAGCGUUAUUCGGAAUUAUUGGGCGUAAAGCGCGUGUAGGCGGUCAUGUAAGUCAGAUGUGAAAGCCCCCGGCUUAACCGGGGAAGUGCCUUUGAUACUGCGUGACUUGAGGACAGGAGAGGAUGGCGGAAUUCCCGGUGUAGCGGUGAAAUGCGUAGAUAUCGGGAGGAACAUCUGAGGCGAAGGCGGCUUUCUGGACCGUUACUGACGCUGAUACGCGAAAGCUUGGGGAGCAAACAG
RNAcentral lists this ribosomal RNA (251 nucleotides) under uncultured prokaryote. RNAcentral's name for it is "partial 16S rRNA". It matches the Rfam family "Bacterial small subunit ribosomal RNA", at positions 525 to 775 of the family's 1533-position model. The record is from RNAcentral.